RNAcentral lists this transfer RNA (44 nucleotides) under Chlorocebus pygerythrus (vervet). RNAcentral describes it as "partial tRNA-Val". The record is from RNAcentral. Lineage: Eukaryota; Metazoa; Chordata; Mammalia; Primates; Cercopithecidae.
CAAGGUAUAGCUUAACGCAAAGCAUCCGGCCUACACCCAGAAGA